Molecule: ribosomal RNA, 460 nt
Filed under: uncultured bacterium
Lineage: Bacteria
Description: partial 16S ribosomal RNA
Rfam family: Bacterial small subunit ribosomal RNA
Source: RNAcentral
CCUACGGGAGGCAGCAGUGAGGAAUAUUGGUCAAUGGGCGCGAGCCUGAACCAGCCAAGCCGCGUGAAGGAUGACUGCCCUACGGGUUGUAAACUUCUUUUAUAAAGGAAUAAAUUCAGGCACGUGUGCCUGUUUGUAUGUAUUUUACGAAUAAGGAUCGGCUAACUCCGUGCCAGCAGCCGCGGUAAUACGGAGGAUCCGAGCGUUAUCCGGAUUUAUUGGGUUUAAAGGGUGCGUAGGUGGGUUUAUAAGUUAGUUGUGAAAGUUUGGGGCUCAACCGUAAAAUUGCAAUUGAUACUGGCAGACUAGAGUACAGUUGAGGUAGGCGGAAUUCAUGGUGUAGCGGUGAAAUGCUUAGAUAUCACGAAGAACACCGAUUGCGAAGGCAGCUUACUAAACUGCAACUGACAUUGAUGCUCGAAAGUGUGGGGAGCAAACAGGAUUAGAUACCCGAGUAGUC